GCAUAUCAAUAAGCGGAGGAAAAGAAACUAACAAGGAUUCCCCUAGUAACUGCGAGUGAAGCGGGAAAAGCUCAAAUUUGAAAUCUGGCAGUCUAUUUUUUCUUCUUUGGCUGUCCGAGUUGUAAUCUAGAGAAGUGCUUACCUGCACUGGACCAUGUAUAAGUCUCCUGGAAUGGAGCGUCGCAGAGGGUGAGAAUCCCGUCUUUGACAUGGACCGCCAGUGUGUUGUGGUGUGCUCUCAAAGAGUCGAGUUGUUUGGGAAUGCAGCUCUAAAUGGGUGGUAAACUCCAUCUAAAGCUAAAUAUUGGCGAGAGACCGAUAGCGAACAAGUACCGUGAGGGAAAGAUGAAAAGGACUUUGGAAAGAGAGUUAAACAGUAUGUGAAAUUGUUGAAAGGGAAACGCUUGAAGUCAGUUGUGUCGGCUGGGGAUCAACCUAGCUCUUUUGCUGGGUGAAUUUCCUAUUCUGACAGGCCAACAUCAGUUUCGACCGCUGGAAAAGAGCGGAGGGAAUGUGGCACCUUYGGGUGUGUUAUAGCCCUUUGUCAUAUGUGGCGGUCGGGACUGAGGGAUGCAGCGUGCCGCGAGGCUGGGUUUCGACCACGUUCACGCUUAGGAUGUUGGCUUUUAAUGGCUUCAAUCGACCCGUCUUGAAACACGGACC
RNAcentral lists this ribosomal RNA (663 nucleotides) under Amanita orientifulva. RNAcentral's name for it is "LSU rRNA". It matches the Rfam family "Eukaryotic large subunit ribosomal RNA", at positions 38 to 667 of the family's 3401-position model. The record is from RNAcentral. Lineage: Eukaryota; Fungi; Basidiomycota; Agaricomycetes; Agaricales; Amanitaceae.